AUUGAACGCUGGCGGAAUGCUUUACACAUGCAAGUCGAACGGUAGAGGGGGCAACCCCUUGAGAGUGGCGAACGGGUGAGUAAUAUAUCGGAACGUGCCCAGUCGUGGGGAUAACGUAGCGAAAGCUACGCUAAUACCGCAUACGAUCUAUGGAUGAAAGCGGGGGAUCGCAAGACCUCGCGCGAUUGGAGCGGCCGAUAUCAGAUUAGGUAGUUGGUGAGGUAAAGGCUCACCAAGCCGACGAUCUGUAGCUGGUCUGAGAGGACGACCAGCCACACUGGGACUGAGACACGGCCCAGACUCCUACGGGAGGCAGCAGUGGGGAAUUUUGGACAAUGGCGCAAGCCUGAUCCAGCAAUGCCGCGUGCAGGAUGAAGGCC
RNAcentral lists this ribosomal RNA (380 nucleotides) under uncultured bacterium. Its description in RNAcentral is "bacterial SSU rRNA". It matches the Rfam family "Bacterial small subunit ribosomal RNA", at positions 30 to 416 of the family's 1533-position model. The record is from RNAcentral.